RNAcentral lists this ribosomal RNA (424 nucleotides) under uncultured eukaryote. RNAcentral describes it as "bacterial SSU rRNA". It matches the Rfam family "Eukaryotic small subunit ribosomal RNA", at positions 592 to 1017 of the family's 1831-position model. The record is from RNAcentral.
CAAGAGCGUAUAUUAAAGUUGUUGCAGUUAAAAAGCUCGUAGUUGGAUUUCUGGUACAACGCGCCUGGCCCGCUUACGUGAGUGCCGGUGCGCGUUUGCCAUCCUUCUAGAAAACGUCUCUACUCGGGCAACUGAGCCGGAUUCGCGAUCUAGAUCUUUUACUUUGAAAAAAUUAGAGUGUUCAAAGCAGGCCUUUGCUCGAAUACAUUAGCAUGGAAUAAUAGAAUAGGACGUGUGGUUCUAUUUUGUUGGUUUCUAGGACCGCCGUAAUGAUUAAUAGGGAUAGUCGGGGGCGUCAGUAUUCAGCUGUCAGAGGUGAAAUUCUUGGAUUUGCUGAAGACUAACUACUGCGAAAGCAUUCGCCAAGGAUGUUUUUCAUUAAUCAGGGAACGAAAGUUAGGGGAUCGAAGACGAUUAGAUACCA